This 603-nucleotide ribosomal RNA is filed under the name Triticum aestivum (bread wheat). RNAcentral's name for it is "partial small subunit ribosomal RNA". The record is from RNAcentral. Lineage: Eukaryota; Viridiplantae; Streptophyta; Magnoliopsida; Poales; Poaceae.
AUGGACGUGCCGACCGCCGGACAAGCCGCCGCUGUACCGCAGCGCAAGGCGUUGGAGUGGGAGGGCCGGGUGGUGUCCCCGGUGCCGACGGCGACGGCGGACGAGGCGUGGGCGCUGCUGUCGGACUUCCUGGCGUUCCACAAGUGGCACCCGCGCGUGGCGGUGUGCCGCCUGGCGUCCUCCGGCGCGGCGGCGCCCGGGUGCGUCCGCUACUGCGAGGGCACCCCGCCCGCCGACGGGACGCCCGCCGACUGGGCGCACGAGACGCUCCUCGAGCACGACCAGGCCCGCCGCUUCUUCCGCUACGAGAUGAACGACAACAACAUGGGCUUCGGCGCCUUCUUCGCCGCGUUCCGCGUCGUCCCCGCCGCGGCCGGCGGCUGCCUGCUGCGGUGGGAGUUCGAGUGCGAGCCCGUGCGGGGCACGCCCAAGGAGGCGCUCGAGGCGCGGCUGCAGGCCGGGCUCGACGGAAUGGCCGCACGCGUGCACGAGCACCUCAUGUCCGCGCGCGGGGCCGUCGCCGCCGCCGCGCCGCCGACCGCUGUGACUGCAGGGCUGGAGGCCGCCGAUGAGCUCAAGCUGGACAGCUCCAUCGCGGCCUGA